RNAcentral lists this ribosomal RNA (468 nucleotides) under uncultured bacterium. RNAcentral's name for it is "partial 16S ribosomal RNA". It matches the Rfam family "Bacterial small subunit ribosomal RNA", at positions 28 to 507 of the family's 1533-position model. The record is from RNAcentral.
GACGAACGCUGGCGGCGUGCUUAACACAUGCAAGUCGAACGGAAAGGCCCUGCUUUUGUGGGGUGCUCGAGAGGCGAACGGGUGAGUAACACGUGAGUAAACUGCACUUGACUGUGGGAUAACAUCAGGAAACAGGGGAUAAUAUCGGAUAGGAGAUCUUGCAGCACGGGGGGGGUUGGAAAGAUACGGCGGUGGGGGAUGGAUUCGCGGCUUAUGAGCUUGUUGGUGGGGUAGUGGCUGACCACGGCUUCGAAGGGUAGCCGGCCUGGGAGGGUGGCCGGCCACAUUGCUCCUACGAUACGGCCCAGUCUCCUACGUUCGGCAGCAGUGGGGAAUCUUGCACAAUGGCCGGACGCCUGUUGCAGCAACGCCGCGUUCGUGAUGCCGUCCUUCGGGUUGUAAACCGCUUUCGCCUUUGCCGAAGCGUGAGUGACGGUACUGGGUCAAGAAGCCCCGGCUAACUACGUG